AGUCCUUCCUACCGUGCUGUUUUUGAAAGAUAUAAUGUAAGUCAUCAAGAACUACAAAAGUUUUGCUACUUUUCUCAACAACAUUGAUGUCCUGAAUUUAGCAGGUGCUAUCGACUGAUCAGUUGGAUAAAGUUAUGGACUACUUUCUGCACACGCCACGGUCAGUGUGAACCGGAGUGACUUGACAUAAUGCUGGCCAAACAAGCUACAAACAAAACAGAGUUAAAUGGUUCCAAUCUGCCGUGAAGCAUUCACCCAUGUACACGGCCCAGGCUGUGUGGUUCAAGGGUGAAUGGUGGGACUUGGGGCAGAUGCACUCCACAGAAAGAGGCAGAGCCAGAGGAGUCAGAGUAAGAGGAGGAGGACGGGGAGGAAAAGGACGAGGACGGGGAAGGCCAAGGACCGUAAUCUCUGAUGAGAUCCGAGCCACUUUGGUUGAUCAUGUGGUCAACCAUGGUCUAACAAUGAGGGAGGCUGGGCAAAGAGUACAGCCAAAUUUAAGCAGGUACACUGUAACAUCCAUCAUCCGGACAUUCCGAAAUGAGAAUAGAGCUGAAAGAUUACCAACACAAGGUGGUCGGGAACGUGUUCUGUCUCCUGAACAGGAAACUGAAAUCAUGAACAUGGUCCUAGAAAAUAACGGCAUAACAUUACGG
RNAcentral lists this long non-coding RNA (656 nucleotides) under Salmo salar (Atlantic salmon). RNAcentral's name for it is "lncRNA (ENSSSAG00000084591.1)". Lineage: Eukaryota; Metazoa; Chordata; Actinopteri; Salmoniformes; Salmonidae. The record is from RNAcentral.